Molecule: ribosomal RNA, 273 nt
Filed under: uncultured bacterium
Lineage: Bacteria
Description: partial 16S ribosomal RNA
Rfam family: Bacterial small subunit ribosomal RNA
Source: RNAcentral
UACGUAGGGGGCAAGCGUUGUCCGGAAUCAUUGGGCGUAAAGAGCGUGUAGGCGGCCCGAUAAGUCCGCUGUGAAAGUCCAGGGCUCAACCCUGGAAUGCCGGUGGAUACUGUCGGGCUCGAAUCCGGAAGAGGUGAGUGGAAUUCCUGGUGUAGCGGUGAAAUGCGCAGAUAUCAGGAGGAACACCAAUGGCGAAGGCAGCUCACUGGGACGGUAUUGACGCUGAGACGCGAAAGCGUGGGGAGCAAACAGGAUUAGAAACCCCCGUAGUCC